UCCCAUAUUGUCUAGUGGUUAGGAUAUCUGGCUCUCACCCAGGAGGCCCGGGUUCAAUUCCCGGUAUGGGAA
Molecule: transfer RNA, 72 nt
Filed under: Daphnia pulex (common water flea)
Lineage: Eukaryota; Metazoa; Arthropoda; Branchiopoda; Diplostraca; Daphniidae
Description: tRNA-Glu
Rfam family: tRNA
About the family: Transfer RNA (tRNA) molecules are approximately 80 nucleotides in length. Their secondary structure includes four short double-helical elements and three loops (D, anti-codon, and T loops).
Source: RNAcentral